RNAcentral lists this ribosomal RNA (395 nucleotides) under uncultured bacterium. RNAcentral describes it as "partial 16S ribosomal RNA". It matches the Rfam family "Bacterial small subunit ribosomal RNA", at positions 523 to 918 of the family's 1533-position model. The record is from RNAcentral.
AUACGUAGGUGACAAGCGUUAUCCGGAUUUACUGGGCGUAAAGGGCGUGUAGGCGGUCUUGCAAGUCAGAAGUGAAAUUCCUGAGCUCAACUCGGGCGCUGCUUCUGAAACUGCAGGACUUGAGUGCUGGAGGGGAUAGCGGAAUUCCUAGUGGAGCGGUAAAAUGCGCAGAUAUUAGGAAGAACACCGGUGGCGAAGGCGGCUAUCUGGACAGUAACUGACGCUUAGGCGCGAAAUCGUGGGGAGCAAACAGAAUUAGAUACCCUGGUAGUCCACGCCGUAAACGAUGAGCACUAGUUGUUGGGUCCGAACGGAUUCAGUGACGCAGUUAACGCAAUAAGUGCUCCGCCUGGGGAGUACGCUCGCAAGAGUAAAACUCAAAGGAAUUGACGGGG